CGGCCUAGAAGGCCAGAGGAGGGCUUGGCCAGUGACUUUUGGCUCAGGACGCCGUCGACCUCCACCCAGCGGUAACAAGGGAACCUGACCUCGUCCCCGGCUCCGGGGCCCUACACGGAGAUCCAGCUGCAGAACCUGAAGGAAGUGACGUUUGCGCAGUUUCACAAACAUCAGCGGCCCCAGGUGAUAAAGCCUGAAAGGUAGAGAUCCAACAGCGCUAGCGGUUGAAACGUUUUUUAAAAUAGAGAAAGCGAGAGGACCGACGGCGGCUCCGGUGACUGCUGAGUUUCCAGACAAGGGAGCUCUGUGCAAUGAGGGGCGCACAGGAGCAUGCCCUCAAUUCCAAGAAGAUCAGGUAGCCGGAAAAUUUAUUAAGCGCUUACUGUGUGCCACCUGCGUGUUUUCUGUCCAAAUCAGAAAAGGAUUUGGACAGAAAACACGCAGGAAGAAGGAAUCAACCCCUGGUACAGCAGGCAGGCGAGGUAGGGGUAGGAGUUAUGCACGUGUAUGCAAGCCUGGAUGGCUGGGAAGCCAACCUCCAUCUAAAGGCAAGCGCGGACAUGCACACACACACACACGCCUCACAAGUUGGAUUGCAAGAGAGGGUGAAGUGGGCGAGGAGACCCAGUCAGCCGUGGCAUUUGAGGAAGGUACAUUUAGGCCACCGAAUUCAUUCCACCAACUUUGCACACUUGUCUUCCUUGUGCCAGGCUCUGGGACUCAUUCCUUUUGAGGGUAAAAGUCUGCCUCCCUGGACUCCUGCCCCUCAGGCGCUCCCACAGCCCGGCACCGCCCCCUCGCCAUUCCGGAGCCAGCGCGGGCUAAGCGGGCCUGGCCGGGGAUGAGCGGAGCCACCGUCCCCAUAUUCCUCGGUGCCCCGGGACCGCAAGAGGGAGCCGUGGUUUCCGGAACUCCUCCCGCCCCUCCGGGCUUUUCCUCUGUUAGGCAGGUGGCGAUUCGCUGUCUUUGCCUGUUAUGGCCGCUGCCGUCGCCCUGGAGACAGCUGGCUGGCUGGCUGGCAACUGGAGGCCUUUCUGUCCUGGCUGAGGGCCCUGG
This 1056-nucleotide long non-coding RNA is filed under the name Homo sapiens (human). Lineage: Eukaryota; Metazoa; Chordata; Mammalia; Primates; Hominidae. The record is from RNAcentral.